GCCUGAUGGCUCGAUAACCAGCGUCCCACAGGUAACCCCAGGUAACAUCUUAAUUAACGAGUAAAACUGUGUGACAUUUCCUAAACCUGUUUACUGCUCACUAAUACGUGCCAGGAAUGGUGGUGAUAUCCUGUCCUUGUUUUACUGGGAUUAAUAUUUGCUCGUCAGGAUUUGGUGAGGUACGGACGCUUGAAGAUUGUCCAUAAAUCAAGUUGGUGUCUGGAUUGAAGCAUAAUUCCGAAUAGAAAGGGUAGAAUGCUGGAGAGCUGAUUGCAGCAGAAGACAAAAAAGAGCAGAUGAUACAGAAAAGCAGACGACACACAACAGCAGACGACACAGCCAGGCAGUGUUUAGAGGUGUGAGGAAGGUGUGUGGAGGUUUGUCUUGGGUGUGUGCUGUUCAACAUCAAGGUGUGCUGGAGGGACCUCCAGGCCCUGAGGACAAAUUAUCUAAUACGGAAGUCAUUUGAGCGGUAUUUAUGUUGGAAUAAAACCAAACAUCACUGCAGGGAUAGAAAGCCCUCAAUUCCACUUGUAGACCAGAAGCAAUAUACAUUCUACGCAGAGAAACCAAAAAGGUGAAUGUGAGAUUUUCCCUGCAGUCCUCACUGACCUACAUGCAUUGUCAGUCGAUUAACACAGUGUGUGGAGUUCUGGGGCACCCGGCUCAUUUUACAAUGUUUCAGAAUCAAAUUGAUCGAUUGGUCAAUACCAUCGCGAAACCGAAACUCGUGAAAUUGGAUUUGUGUGCAGUGUCUCGUUGAGAGGUGUACUGGAGUGCUAAGUAAGACCCCCAGGGCAUUGUGGGUAAUCUAACAAACCUGACUCCAAUAACCUGGAUUUCUGGGUAAUAUAACAACAUAGCAUUCUGGGUAAUCCAAAAACAUAUUUUUUUUGCAUUCUUGUUAAUUCAACAACUCAGCAUUCUGUGUAAUUCAGCGAUUGAGUGCUUUUGUUAACAAUUUUAACCUGAAAAUUGGAUAUAACAGCAACAACAAUAACAACAACAACCCAUUAUUUUGGAUAUACGAACCAGCAAGCAUUCUGAA
Mizuhopecten yessoensis (Yesso scallop) is the source of this 1048-nucleotide long non-coding RNA. RefSeq lists it as uncharacterized. Lineage: Eukaryota; Metazoa; Mollusca; Bivalvia; Pectinida; Pectinidae. The record is from RefSeq and is a predicted model, not a curated record. The transcript is spliced from 4 exons.